GAAUAUUGGACAAUGGGGGCAACCCUGAUCCAGCCAUGCCGCGUGUGUGAAGAAGGCUUUCGGGUUGUAAAGCACUUUCAGUGGGGAAGAAGGCCUUGGGCUUAAUACGCUUGAGGAAGGCCAUCACCCCCAGAAGAAGCACCGGCUAAUUCCGUGCCAGCAGCCGCGGUAAUACGGCGGGUGCGAGCGUUAAUCGGAAGUACUGGGCGUAAAGCGCGCGUAGGCGGCUAAGUAAGCCGGGUGUGAAAGCCCCGGGCUCAACCUGGGAACGGCAUCCGGAACUGUUUAGCUAGAGUGCAGGAGAGGAAGGUAGAAUUCCCGGUGUAGCGGUGAAAUGCGUAGAGAUCGGGAGGAAUACCAGUGGCGAAGGCGGCCUUCUGGACUGACACUGACGCUGAGGUGCGAAAGCGUGGGUAGCAAACAGG
Molecule: ribosomal RNA, 425 nt
Filed under: uncultured bacterium
Lineage: Bacteria
Description: bacterial SSU rRNA
Rfam family: Bacterial small subunit ribosomal RNA
Source: RNAcentral